GACGAACGCUGGCGGCGUGCUUAACACAUGCAAGUCGAACGGAAAGGCCCUGCUUUUGUGGGGUGCUCGAGUGGCGAACGGGUGAGUAACACGUGAGUAACCUGCCCUUGACUUUGGGAUAACUUCAGGAAACUGGGGCUAAUACCGGAUAGGAGCUCCUGCUGCAUGGUGGGGGUUGGAAAGUUUCGGCGGUUGGGGAUGGACUCGCGGGUUAUCAGCUUGUUGGUGGGGUAGUGGCUUACCAAGGCUUUGACGGGUAGCCGGCCUGAGAGGGGGACCGGGCACAUUGGGACUGAGAUACGGACCAGACUCCUACGGGAGGCAGCAGGGGGGAAUAUUGCACAAUGGGCGGAAGCGUGAUGCAGCAACGCCGCGUGCGGGAUGACGGCCUUCGGGUUGUAAACCGCUUUCGACUGUGACGAAGCGUGAGUGACGGUAAUGGGUAAAGAAGCACCGGCUAACUACGUG
This 468-nucleotide ribosomal RNA is filed under the name uncultured bacterium. Its description in RNAcentral is "partial 16S ribosomal RNA". It matches the Rfam family "Bacterial small subunit ribosomal RNA", at positions 28 to 507 of the family's 1533-position model. The record is from RNAcentral.